RNAcentral lists this ribosomal RNA (483 nucleotides) under uncultured bacterium. Its description in RNAcentral is "partial 16S ribosomal RNA". It matches the Rfam family "Bacterial small subunit ribosomal RNA", at positions 28 to 507 of the family's 1533-position model. The record is from RNAcentral.
GACGAACGCUGGCGGCGUGCUUAACACAUGCAAGUCGAACGCUGAAGCUCAGCUUUUGUUGGGUGGAUGAGUGGCGAACGGGUGAGUAACACGUGAGUAACCUGCCCCCUUCUUUGGGAUAACGCCCGGAAACGGGUGCUAAUACUGGAUAUUCACUGGUCUUCGCCUGGGGGUUGGUGGAAAGGGUUUUUCUGGUGGGGGAUGGGCUCGCGGCCUAUCAGCUUGUUGGUGGGGUGAUGGCCUACCAAUGCUUUGACGGGUAGCCGGCCUGAGAGGGUGACCGGUCACAUUGGGACUGAGAUACGGCCCAGGGUCCUACGGGAGGCAGCAGUGGGGAAUAUUGCACAAUGGGCGCAAGACUGAUGCAGCGACGGCGCGUGAGGGAUGGAGGCCGUCGGGUUGUGAACCUCUUUCGCUAAUGGUCAAGCCGUAACAAUGGUUGUGGUGAGGGUAGUGGGUAAAGAAGCGCCGGCUAACUACGUG